Long non-coding RNA from Argentina anserina (silverweed cinquefoil), 903 nucleotides. RefSeq lists it as uncharacterized. The transcript has 3 exons. The record is from RefSeq and is a predicted model, not a curated record. Lineage: Eukaryota; Viridiplantae; Streptophyta; Magnoliopsida; Rosales; Rosaceae.
AUCUAUUCUUUCUCUCUUUCUCUUUGCGAAUUCAGUUCUUCAUUAUUCACUUCUGAUCCAGCUCUUAGAACCCUAAACUAAUACCCUUUGACUUAACCCCCGAAACUAUAGAGGGUCCUUCUCUGCCUCUUGAGAGCGAGACAUUGGACUCGAUGGCGUUAAGGUUGAGGAGAAGGGGAUCUGUGUCGGCAGUGAGAGGGUCAGCGAGGACCAAAUCGGAGCUCAGACGCAGUACCAGUAGCAGUAGCAGAGUUGAGAUCAGAACCGCGAUUAAGAUGAGACUCUGAAUUUGAUUAAGAAGAGAGAGUGGAGGAAGCAAUAUUCUAAAAAACGCUAGGCGUUAAUCGGGCGGACAGCUAAAAAUCAGCGCCCAGAGGAUUAAUCGGGGAUUAAUCGGGGAUUAAUCGGGGAUUAAUCUAAGCGGCUAAGGAUCUCCGGGCGCCUAGGCGGUUCUAGGCGGGGAUUUUUAGAACAUUGGGAGGAAGAGAGGGACUCUGAAUUCUCAGCCGCCAAACGCAUCGUCCUUCACCGUAGACUACAGCCAUCGAUUCUUCACUCUAAUUGCUCUGCUGCUAGGCAGAGGAUCUUCGGCUCUGAGGAAACCGGUGAUGCACUGGUAUCUGAUUUUUAUAUGUUUUAUUUUCAUUCGGUCUCGACUUUUAUCAACUUAAAUUAUAACCAGGUACAAGGAACGGCUGCAAAUAAAGGGAGGAGAGAGACAAUGCAGGAGGAACAAAAUUUGCCAAGUGCUUGUCUGCAAUGAGACUGGCCACCUGAGCAAGCAUUGUCCUAAAAACUCUCAUGGGAUCCGAAGGUAAAAUAUGUUGAGGUGCAACACAUUUGGCACUAGACUGUCCUGACAAGGACAAUAGAAAUAUGUGGAGGUGCAACACAUUUGUAAAC